RNAcentral lists this ribosomal RNA (363 nucleotides) under Triticum aestivum (bread wheat). RNAcentral's name for it is "partial small subunit ribosomal RNA". Lineage: Eukaryota; Viridiplantae; Streptophyta; Magnoliopsida; Poales; Poaceae. The record is from RNAcentral.
AUGACAACUAUACUUAUUCCAGGAGUGCUUACAUGUAUGCGCAGGUGGUAUUUCAGGAACCGCCUGCAAAGGUAUGGUGGGACUCCAAAGAGCGCACUGACGACCUACUUCUUAGCCGCAGCAAACAUCUUCGAACCAAGCCGAGCAUCAGAGCGUCUAGCAUGGGCUCGCAUGGCGGUGCUUGCCGAGGCGGUGACCUCUCACUACCGAUACACAGGGUAUGCAGCUUCACAGUUUUCCUUCUCCGAAAUCUGGUUUUAUGGAAUAUGUCUAGAUUUGGGGAUGCCACAAUCGCGAGGUGUUCUAUGUGGCUGGCCUCAAGGUUUUUUCUUUCUUUUUUGGUUUUUCCUCUUUAUAAACUAA